Non-coding RNA from Nylanderia fulva, 445 nucleotides. Lineage: Eukaryota; Metazoa; Arthropoda; Insecta; Hymenoptera; Formicidae. The record is from RefSeq and is a predicted model, not a curated record.
AAAUUACGCUGGGAGAAUAAAUUGUAAAAGUAAAGGCUGAUGUUACUUACUCUGCAAGCAAUCGGCAUUCAGGAGGUCCUUGCACUUUUCGUGACACUUGACACCGCACUCCAUACAUCGCACACCCUGACGAGCGAUGCCCCAGAGAAGACCCUCGCAUUCGUAGCAGUAGGUCGGCGAUGUGGCGGUCCAGGUGACGAAAUUGUGAGGAGUGGUCGACGAUAUCGGGUAGAUCAUCGCCUGCAGAGUUUUCUUGUACACGUGCAUCUUCUGUGGAUGUAUCAUCGCGAAUGCAUCGCCGGUGUUCAGGUGGAUACAACAACGGGCGCCACAGAGAACAAACAAAGAAAAUAGCAUUAUAUGCCGGCAGAAGAGAGGCACAAAAACAAUAUUCGACGGACGUAAUUAGGACUGAUUCAUCACGAGAAGAGAGAGACAUAAUUAA